GAUCAUGGCUCAGGAUGAACGCUGGCGGCGUGCUUAACACAUGCAAGUCGAACGGGAAACCUUUUAUUGAAGCUUCGGCAGAUUUAGCUGGUUUCUAGUGGCGGACGGGUGAGUAACGCGUGGGUAACCUGCCUUGUACAGGGGGAUAACAGUCAGAAAUGACUGCUAAUACCGCAUAAGCGCACAGGACCGCAUGGUCCGGUGUGAAAAACUCCGGUGGUAUAAGAUGGACCCGCGUUGGAUUAG
Molecule: ribosomal RNA, 246 nt
Filed under: uncultured bacterium
Lineage: Bacteria
Description: partial 16S ribosomal RNA
Rfam family: Bacterial small subunit ribosomal RNA
Source: RNAcentral